AGCCCCUAGCGCAGACGGCGGAGAGCAGAGAGGGAGCGCGCCUUGGCUCGCUGGCCUUGGCGGCGGCUCCUCAGGAGAGCUGGGGCGCCCACGAGAGGAUCCCUCACCCGGGUCUCUCCUCAGGGAUGACAUCAUCCGUCCACCUCCUUGUCUUCAAGGACCACCUCCUCUCCAUGCUGAGCUGCUGCCAAGGGGCCUGCUGCCCAUCUACACCUCACGAGGGCACUAGGAGCACGGUUUCCUGGAUCCCACCAACAUACAAAGCAGCCACUCACUGACCCCCAGGACCAGGAUGGCAAAGGAUGAAGAGGACCGGAACUGACCAGCCAGCUGUCCCUCUUACCUAAAGACUUAAACCAAUGCCCUAGUGAGGGGGCAUUGGGCAUUAAGCCCUGACCUUUGCUAUGCUCAUACUUUGACUCUAUGAGUACUUUCCUAUAAGUCUUUGCUUGUGUUCACCUGCUAGCAAACUGGAGUGUUUCCCUCCCCAAGGGGGUGUCAGUCUUUGUCGACUGACUCUGUCAUCACCCUUAUGAUGUCCUGAAUGGAAGGAUCCCUUUGGGAAAUUCUCAGGAGGGGGACCUGGGCCAAGGGCUUGGCCAGCAUCCUGCUGGCAACUCCAAGGCCCUGGGUGGGCUUCUGGAAUGAGCAUGCUACUGAAUCACCAAAGGCACGCCCGACCUCUCUGAAGAUCUUCCUAUCCUUUUCUGGGGGAAUGGGGUCGAUGAGAGCAACCUCCUAGGGUUGUUGUGAGAAUUAAAUGAGAUAAAAGAGGCCUCAGGCAGGAUCUGGCAUAGAGGAGGUGAUCAGCAAAUGUUUGUUGAAAAGGUUUGACAGGUCAGUCCCUUCCCACCCCUCUUGCUUGUCUUACUUGUCUUAUUUAUUCUCCAACAGCACUCCAGGCAGCCCUUGUCCACGGGCUCUCCUUGCAUCAGCCAAGCUUCUUGAAAGGCCUGUCUACACUUGCUGUCUUCCUUCCUCACCUCCAAUUUCCUCUUCAACCCACUGCUUCCUGACUCGCUCUACUCCGUGGAAGCACGCUCACAAAGGCACGUGGGCCGUGGCCCGGCUGGGUCGGCUGAAGAACUGCGGAUGGAAGCUGCGGAAGAGGCCCUGAUGGGGCCCACCAUCCCGGACCCAAGUCUUCUUCCUGGCGGGCCUCUCGUCUCCUUCCUGGUUUGGGCGGAAGCCAUCACCUGGAUGCCUACGUGGGAAGGGACCUCGAAUGUGGGACCCCAGCCCCUCUCCAGCUCGAAAUCGGCAGACUAGGAUGGAAGUGCCCUGUGAGCUGGGGGGCCCUUCAAAGGGCCAAGGAGAAAACGCAGGCCGAGGGACCAGCCUUCCAAAUGGGCUUCAAGCUCCAAUGACCUCCGCUCGCCCCCUCGAAAUGUCUGGAAAACAUAAUGGGCAGAUUUUCUGUCUUCAAAGUUUCCGGCUAAACCUCUUCAAGUUCUUUAUUGUUUGGGACUGAGACACUCAGCCAUGUUAAUGGGUAGUUUCUUUUGUAUUUGCCUUGAAAGGCCAAAAUAUUUUUAUAUUGCCACAGACAAAGCCACCUAUUUAAAAAUGAACUCCAUGUCCGUCGUUUCCCACCAGGAGACUAUGUACCAUGUGUGUGUCUCUAUGUAUUCUGGGGUCUUGAAACAGGUUUCUCAUGGGGAUGGUCAUUCACCACGGUCCAGAGGGGCAGAACAGGCGGCGCUUGCCUUGCCCAGGGGGCCUGGGGAACGUGGGCCCUCAUCUCAGAUCUGCCCCCAGUAUGUUUAGGACGCGAGCCCCAGAAGGAUCUGGGAGUAAACUUAACAUUCACUGUGUCUCUGCUCUGCAUCCGCCAUUUGUGUGUGUUUCUGGACUGUGGGCUGUGUGUACCUUGGUUGGUGACUCAGUGAGAAGAAGCAGGAAUGCCAAAGAUACUGUGAAUGUUCUGAGUUUUGUUGCUGUUGUUGUUGAGAGGUUGUUUCACUGGUAUCUAUUGCAUUGUAUAAUAAAUGACCAGAUGAAUGAAUGAGUGAAGCAAGAGAGAAUGAAUAAACAAGUAAAUAGGUAAAGAAGUAAGCAAGCCAGGAUGAGAGUGUGUGUACACAAGACCAUGGUUCAUCCGCUUUGAUGGCUAGGCAAUCAAUAUAUAAAUAGAAAAAAACCAGUGAAUCACUAAGUAAUAGGGCAACACACAAAGCGAUAUCAGGUGAUUAUGGACUAAGGGGUAUGUGUAACUCAAAUAUAUGCCUCUGACAUUUGACAAUGAAAAAGAACCUAAAUGAAAGAAAGAAUGGAUGUAUGAGUAGUGAAGUGCAGAAUGAGACAUAGAUUUUGAGGCCCGUCAAAAUGAAAAGAUGCAAGUUAGGGAACAAGUGAUCAAAAGGGAGAAGGGAAAGGUUUUUUUUAAAAAACCAAAACAACAAAGAAAGGUUAAAAAAAAAAACAGACUAGAGGAUGAGUAAUGAGUAACUCUGUAAGGAGGACCAUGUCAGACUAUUGUAAGCUAAGCAUUAGGACUGAUACAAAUAAUAUAUGCUCCUGGCAUAGAAAAAUAAACCACAGAGAACGAGUUCAAAGAAUAGCAAAGAAAGAAAGAGGACCCAGUGGGCGAAAGAUGAGAGUGUACUUUUACCAAAAGUUAUCUAAGCCUGAGCACUUGAAGUCUGCACAUAAAUAAAUAAAUGACAAAAGAAAGAAAAAAAGGCCAAAAAGUCUACAUUGCGUGUGUGGAUGGAUGAAUGAGCAGUGGGAGUGCAGCGCCAGGUGACAAGAUGUUGUGAGGGGUUUUGAGUCAUCCAGUCCUGGGCACUGAGGUCUGUUAGAUGAAAGGAUAUGAGAAAGGUAAUAUUGGUAAAUAAAGAAAUAGGAAACAAUGUAACAAAUGUUAAGUACAGAAAUACAUUAAUGGGUGGUAAAUAAAGAUGUAAAAGAAGGCAAUGCGAUCGAUGGUGGCAAAAGAUCAUCACAGAUUAAGGGCUAUGGCUGGUCCACUUCUAGAAAACCACAGGCUGUCCAUUAAAUAAUGAACAUCUAAGUGAACAAGUCAGUGAGUACCUAAAUAGACAAGGAUGAGGUGAAUGAGAAGACAUGGCCCCAUGGGUCCUCCUGAUGAGGGUGUUGGGGUCCCCCCUGGGCACCCCAGCUGCAUGAAAAUGAAGGACAGGAGGUAUGGAAAGCUAUGACAGAAGAGAGAAAGGAACGGUAAAAAGAAAUAACAACCAAAUGGAUAAAUGGGUAGAUCCACGAGAAGAGUUAGGCUAGGACUUGUCAUAAGGGCACCUGACUCCACUAAUAGAGGAAUAAAUGCCUAAUAAAAAGAGAGCAAGCAGGAAGGAAGGAUGCUAUGAAUGCAGGAAGGAAGUAAUGAGUGAGACGUGGAACCGCACGGCCAAGGAUGGACGUUUGCGGGUGGCUUUUUGAUGCGUACAGCCAAGCCACUCCAUGGCAAUGAGCUCCGAAGACAAAGUGCAAGAGAGAAUGAGUGAGAGAGUGAGAGAGAGAGAAACAAUAAAAAAUGGGAAGAAAUGUAAAAAGGAAGAAAGGAAGAGAGGUAAUAUAUUAAGGAAUAAAUACAUGCAUGCAGAUUUAAGACAGAGCCAUGCUAGAACAGGAAUGAAAGGCUGUGUGAACCAAGCAGACCGCUUAAUUGGCACCAGUGCUGCUGGUAUGGUCAAUCACCUACUCAACUAAGGAACGGCUCAAAGCAUACACAUGGGAGGGAGGAGUGGGGCCACAGAGAGAGGGCCCAUUAGUUGCAGAUUACGAUGUAUCCAGUUAGGUGCACCUGCCUUCGAGAAGUGUAAAAAUAAGUAUUUACAUAGAAAGAAAGACUGAAUGGAUGCACGGUGAAUGCAUGAAUGAUUGAACGACAGAAAAGAUUUGCAUUGACCGAUGAGGAGGGCAUUGUAGACAGGGAUGAGGGUCAUUGAUCCUGGGUGCAGAUCUCCAAAAGAAUGACAGAAAGAAAGAGGGAGUGGUGGAAAGAAACAAUAGGAUGGGAAAAAAUGAAAAUAGAAAAAAGGAAGUGAAAGAGAUAAUAAAUAAUUAGAUCAAAUAAGUUGAUGAAAGGGGACUGGUUUAGCACAAGCCAUCCACAUUAAUUCAAACCUGUGGCUCUGAAGUUUGUUUUUUAAAUGACCACAAGUGUAAGACUGAAUGAAAGAAUAAAUGCGUGCAUUCCAUAGGAUGCAAGAAAAGGAGUGAGGAAUGGGAAAAUUGGAAGAACGAGAGAGGGAGAGAUGUAAGAAAAGAAAGGAAAAGUGAAGUAGGCAUAUGAAAGAAAAGGCACUUCUUGGACAAGCACUGAAAUAUAAUGAGACAGUUUUACCCAUUAAAUAUAAUAAACAGUAAACGUUGAGGUUCAUCAAUAAAAGCACAGAUACCUGAAUAGAGGAGUGACCUGAAUAGAAUUCGUUCAGCCGAACGAAUGAGAAUGGAUGAUUUUCACUAUCCUGUGCACUCAAGGCCCAAAAGAGAAAGCAAGAGAGGAGAGAAUAUGGAAACGUAUGACAGGAUGUAUAUAAGCAAUACAAACAUAUUGAAUGAAUAAAUAAAGACAUAAAUAUGUGGGAGAGUGGACCACGCAAGGACAAAAAGAGGAGAGAAGGCAGCAAGAAUUAUGACUAAUUCAAAACUGGGUUCCUGAGAUAGUUAAAUAAAUCCUGCACCAAAUCCCCAGGGGGAGAAAUUAACAAACAAAAGACAGCCCCACACGGACCAGUGUGCAGAAGGCUCCAGGAACCGCAGAUUAUGGUUAAUCCAAUUCUGUGCACCUGAGGUCCAUAAAUAAAAGAAUAAGUAUUGAAAUGAAAGAAUGACAGAAAGAAUGAAUGGACACAUGAACGACUGAAUUAGAAAUGGAAAUGCCUGGCACAGCCAGGAAGGAGCUGCCCAUGGGAUUGUCAUUCAUCUCACUCUGGGCACCUGAGGUCCAUAAGCGUGAAAAGAGGCAGGAAGAGAAGUGUCAGGGAGUCAAAGAUAGAGCUAAGGAAAGGCAAAAAUGAAACUAAAUGAAAGCGAAAGGGAAAAUAAAGAAAAACCAAUAAAAAAGAGAACGAAUACGUGGGUGUAUCUGUAAGAGUAGGAUCUGUUAGGAUUAGUCAUAAGACUGUCAGUAAUCCUGAAGAUGGAUGAGAUAAUCCAGGCCCAGGUUCCCAGGGGGAGGGAAAAUGGAGAAAAUAUAAAAAGAUGUGAAAAAGGAAAAAGGAAAGGUAAUAAACAAACAACCAAAGUGAUAAAUGGAUAGUUAAGGGAGGUUGUCUGAACAGGGAUUAUAAUUAGUUUACAUACAUACUCCUUAAACAGAUAAAUACAUUACACCUUUCAAAGAAUAAAUGAAAAAUAGAGAGACAUACCUGGCUCCAAAACAAGGCUGUAUCUUCUGCCACUGUAAUAAAAUAGAUGCAAUUGAGGUUCAUAAAUAAAAGAAUAAAUACUUAAACGUGAAAGGUGACUAAAUGCGGGGAAGAAAGAUUGCAAAUAAAUACAUGGGCCAAAGAUGUUUGGUUUGCCCAUGGAGUUUUAAUUAAAAAAAUUAAUAAGGAAAACAAAUACCCAAAAUAAGGAAGACUGACAAAUGAGUGAGUGGAUGAGAGAGUGAAUGGUGCUUGACGUAGGAGCAGUAGUGCUUUAGGGACCAGCAUGAAGGUGGUGACCGGGAGCCCUGAUUCAUGGGAUUCUGUCCACCUGACUUUAUAAGAACCAAGAAUGGCUGGGAAUGGUGGCUCACGCCUGUAAUCCCAGCACUUUGGGAGGCCGAGGUGGGCGGAUCAUGAGGUCAGGAGUUUGAGACCAGCCAGUUUGAGAUCAGCCUGGCCAACAUGGUGAAAUUCCAUCUCUACUAAAAAAAUACAAAAAUUAUGGGCGUGGUGGCACCUGUCUGUAAUCCUAGCUACUCGGGAGGCUGAGAGAGGAGAAUUGCUUGAACCCGGGAGGUGGAGGUUGUAGUGAGCCAAGAUUGCACCACUGCACUCCAGCCUGGGCUACAGAGCAAGACACUAUCUUAGAUCAAAAAAGAAAAAAAAAAAAAGAAGGAGAAAGAACCAGAGAAACAUAAGGAAGAGUGAGAGGAAGAAAGAAAGAUGCAAUUUGGGAAGAAAUGAAAAAGAAAUGAAUAAAGAAUAAAAUAAUGUAACGGUCAAUAAAUAGGACUUGUGAAUGGAGGCCUUUAGGCCAAAGGCUAUGAUUAAUUUCAAGCUAUGUUACUGAAGUCCAUAAACAAAGGACUCAGAUCUAAAUGGAUGAACGAAUGACUGGAAGAAAGGGUGGUAGGAAGGUAGGAAGAAAGGAAGGAGGGAAAAAGGGAAGAGAGGAAGGAACCUUCUUUCCAGUCCUGUGUUCUAGACAGUGGAAUGAAGUGGUCCCCAGGGAGGGUGGCUGUAGGCAUGUCAUGUGCUUGUCACAUGCACUUGCCCUGGCAGGGAGGAGCUGGCUCAGGAAGACCCUGGUCUUGGGGUGCUGUUGCCCUAUCUUGGCUGUGUGGGCCAUUUCACUGCAUCUGUCUCUUCCUCAGUUUCCCCAUCUGUAAACCUGGAGUGGCACCAGCUGCCUACUAGAGUUGAUCUUAUGUGUCUCUGUUGAUGGUACCCCAUCUAUGGCCUGGAUAGGCAGGAAGGGCUUGGACCCUGAGCCCCGCAGAAGGUUGCAUGAACGAGUGGUGUGAAGCCUGUUGGGUAGCUUGGCCACUCCCGCGGCAUGGGUCACCUGCACAGGAGGUUUUGCCCACCAGGGGGCAGCAGAGGGUCAGGGAGCAAUAGGCCCUGGGUGGAGCAUGGGCCCCGCCUGCUGUGUGCCACCCUGGGUGUGGCACCUACUCACAUCCAGGGGUUGGUGCAGGGAAAGGCCAGAAGGUGGCCAGGCGCACCUGAGAAGGGGGACCCAGAAGCCCCGGGACCCAGGAGCCCUGGGCAAGCCACCAGAAACCUUGUUCUUGCAACUCUCUGCAGUGUGCCCAGGCCACCCUCUGGCCUGGUCUUCCAUGGGGCAGGGCGCCCACCCUUCUCAACUCAGGUUUCCCUGGGCAGCAGGUGCACCUCAGCACCCCUGGGGUUGCAGAAGUGGUCCGGGGACCCUGGCUUCCUUGACAUGCCAUCCCCAGAGCCUGGUUCAAGGCCUCUCUGUCUUCUCGGCUGUUUCACGACGUGUUUUGUAACUUGGCGGGAUUGCGUUUCGCUGUGUCGAGGUUGUCUCUUCUCUGACUCGCCCUCCGGGGGACUGCCGGGGUAAAUCUGGAGAGUUGCUCGUGCUGACAGUCCUCCCCCAGGGCCUCCCCGGUUCUGUUGAGUCUCCUUUCUCUGUAGUGGAGGAAAUGUGUGUAGUUUUGUGUUGUGUGCCUGUGUUUGUCUGUAAAAGCAAGGACCAAAGUCUCCCUUGUUGACCUCUCAAUUCCUAUUUGGGACAUAUAAAAACACUGGAUUCUUAACAAGCGCCCGGAGCAGUAGGAGCACAGCUUGGAUGGACUCAGGACUUGUGGCAGGGAGCACGUGGGAGGCAGGGGAGUGGGGUGGGGCCAGGCCAUCUGGAGUGGGAGGCGUCAUGCUCAGAGUGACUCUGUAGACGCUGGGUGGGAUGGGGAGUGCGGGCGCAGGCAUGGAUGGGGCUGUUAGCUAGUGUGAUGCUUGAGGUCUGAGCUGAUGGCAGCAAAGUGGGGUGCUCAGGAAUCAAAGCUAUGGGGUUAUAGACAGGAUAUGAAGGAGGGAGGGAGGCAAGAAGAAGGGGGUGGUUCCCACGCUUCUAGCUCCGGCCGAGUGGAUGGCAACAGCAUUUGGAAGGCGGAGGACAUGGAAUUCAUGUGUCAGGAGCCACCUUCCGAGCCUCCAGUACCACGUGUCAGGGCCACAUGAGCUGGGCCUCGUGGGCCUGAUGUGGUGCUGGGGCCUCAGGGGUCUGCUCUUCUUCUCUUUCAGAAUCUGGGGCUCCAGGCUAUGCCUUGGCUGGACUGAGGUCUGGGGGUGCACUUAUUAUCCCUGGGGACACCUGCUGAAGCUUCUCCCUGACAAGCUGUGUCACUGUUGGAUGAGGAUGGGGCGGGAGGGGUUCAGGGCAGAAGAAGACCGGGAGGGUCUUUCAAAAGAACUCAUGUACGGCUGUUAAAAAAAGUCAGCAGAGGCUCAGGAAGACUUAAAGUGUGCAGAAGGCGGGGAAGGGAGGGCCCAUUGCAUGCACCAAGAGGAAAUUGGAAGGAACAAGCGACGUUGGCUGCUAGGAGAGCCUGCUCCCAACAUCUAGGGGCUGUCCUGACGGGUCACAGUGGGUCGAACUGAGCCAAUGAGAGCAGCUCUGGGGAGACCCACUGGUGCCCUGGAGGCUGGGUGGGUUUGGGUUGGAUGAAUUCUGUGUGUCCUUUUGGAAAUGUGGAGGCCAUGAGGGGGGAUCAGGGCUCUUAGGGUUUUGACCCUUAAGAGUUUUGUAUCUGUAAUUCAAAGGUUCUUUAGUUCUGGGAUGCUGAGAUUCGGGAUAGGGUUCCUAAUGGCACAAAAGCCAGAGAUAAAACAUCCUUCACGUGCUCCCUACCCGGUUCUUUCUGUACCAGACCCACAAGGUCCGAGUUGGGAUCCUAGUGCUCCUGUCUGGUCAGGGCCUAUCUUUAUGUGUUCGUUAAACUUUUAACAAUGAGAAUUAAUUCUGUCUCUUGACAUUGUCAUUUGCAUGCUCCCCACACACAAAUCCUUUCCUGGUGACACCAGGAGCUACAACUCUCCUUGGCCUCCUCUUGUGACUCCCAACUCCCUCCUUGGGAAGCUUGGCCUCAGGACCUCUGGGAUAGACAGGCCACGAAUCCUGCUGUGUCCCGUUGUGUUCCUAAUAUAAAUGGUGUGGAUGGCACUUGACCUAGAGCAGUGGGAAAUGCAUGCACCACUCAACAUUCUGACAUGUCACCCAUUUUACAUUCUUACAGGCAUACUUUUUUUAAAAAAAGAGUGUCUAUUCUUUAAUGAGCAUCCCUUCUUUAAAAAAACCUAAUUGCCAUUAUUCACCACAUACACUUUUUUUUUUUUGUAUCCUGCCUCUUCUAUUUAAUUUUCUGUCAUCAACAUUUUCCCUUGUUCCAUGAAUCUUCAUAACCUCACUUGCUGCGUUGUGCCUUGUUGAGUGGCUAUGGCAUCAUUCACAGAACCAUUCUGUUAUUCUUAUGUAUAACCACCUUUUAAAAAUAUUAUGAAUAAUGCCACAACUAACUGCUUAAAACACCCUUUUUUUCAUUCUUAAGAAUUAUGUUCUUCCACCCAGAAAUUAUCAUUGCUUCACUACAGAUCAGUUUCCCCUGCUAGACUGUGAGCCCCAUAAGGGCAAGGAGCUUAUUGAAUUGGCCUUUGUAUCUCUGAUGCCCAACAUGUUGUAGACUAUAAAUAAAUGAUGAAUGAGUGGAUGGAAGAAUGGAGGAAGGAGCGAGUGAGUGAGUGUUUGGCUGAUGGAUAAGAGGGUGGAAGGAUAGGCGGAAGGAUGGAUUGGUGAAUGAAUGAAUGAAUUUCCUUUGGUUAAGUCUCUUGAAAGAAAGGCUAUGGAUCUUUGUAUGGAUGUUGAAUAAUUUCAGUAAGCUUACAGCAUUUUACAAUGUUCAGCAAUGUAUGACCACUUAAUUAAGAUAUGGCUAGUUUGUCUCUGUUAUAAAGUACUUUUGCAUUACUUUAACUUGCAUUGCUUUAAUUACUAAUGAUGGGUGAACACUUUGACCUAUGUUUGUUAACAAAUUGUAUUUUAUCUUCUGUGAA
Molecule: long non-coding RNA, 9689 nt
Filed under: Homo sapiens (human)
Lineage: Eukaryota; Metazoa; Chordata; Mammalia; Primates; Hominidae
Description: non-protein coding lnc-DLK1-35:13
Rfam family: Maternally expressed 3 conserved region 2 (bases 536-640)
Source: RNAcentral